AACGAACGCUGGCGGCAGGCCUAACACAUGCAAGUCGAGCGCCCCGCAAGGGGAGCGGCGGACGGGUGAGUAACGCGUGGGAACGUACCCUUUGCUACGGAAUAGCCUCGGGAAACUGGGAGUAAUACCGUAUGUGCCCUUCGGGGGAAAGAUUUAUCGGCAAAGGAUCGGCCCGCGUUGGAUUAGGUAGUUGGUGGGGUAAUGGCCUACCAAGCCGACGAUCCAUAGCUGGUUUGAGACGGAUGAUCAGCCACACUGGGACUGAGACACGGCCCAGACUCCUACGGGAGGCAGCAGUGGGGAAUCUUAGACAAUGGGCGCAAGCCUGAUCUAGCCAUGCCGCGUGAGCGAUGAAGGCCUUAGGGUUGUAAAGCUCUUUCAGUGGGGAAGAUAAUGACUGUACCCACAGAAGAAGACCCGGCUAACUACCGUGCCAGCAGCCGCGGUAAAGU
This 452-nucleotide ribosomal RNA is filed under the name uncultured bacterium. RNAcentral describes it as "bacterial SSU rRNA". It matches the Rfam family "Bacterial small subunit ribosomal RNA", at positions 29 to 526 of the family's 1533-position model. The record is from RNAcentral.